AUAAAAAGAAAAUUACUUUUGUAUCUAACUACUAAUGCACAAGUUAGCUGGAUGAGAAUCCUUCUGACCACUGGGAAAUCUGGUGAAAGUGAUUGUGAUGUUUGCUCCACUAAUGCAGCUACCAUAGUGAAAUUAGCCAGGAUAAGAACUAUCAACACAAUUGCUUACUUUUCAUUGAUCCCUCCUUUUCAGAAAUUUAAGGGACUUUCAUCCUAAAAGCGACCU
Molecule: unclassified non-coding RNA, 225 nt
Filed under: Hevea brasiliensis (rubber tree)
Lineage: Eukaryota; Viridiplantae; Streptophyta; Magnoliopsida; Malpighiales; Euphorbiaceae
Source: RNAcentral